UUUAUUCCCUCCUCUUUUGCAGAUUUUUUUCUGACAUAAUUGAAAAGCACUCAUAAUAUAGAAUUUGGUCUACAUAUCUGCAAGAUGAAUUUUUAAAUCAGAUGGCCAUCUGGGGUGGAACAGAUGUGCCUGAAAUUUACUCUGUUGUCUGUUUUCUGCUGCUCAAGAGCUGUACAUAACAAACAUAAUAACCAU
This 195-nucleotide long non-coding RNA is filed under the name Cyanistes caeruleus (blue tit). RNAcentral describes it as "lncRNA (ENSCCEG00000013178.1)". Lineage: Eukaryota; Metazoa; Chordata; Aves; Passeriformes; Paridae. The record is from RNAcentral.